RNAcentral lists this ribosomal RNA (253 nucleotides) under uncultured bacterium. Its description in RNAcentral is "partial 16S ribosomal RNA". It matches the Rfam family "Bacterial small subunit ribosomal RNA", at positions 524 to 776 of the family's 1533-position model. The record is from RNAcentral.
UACGGGGGGUGCAAACGUUGCUCGGAAUUAUUGGGCGUAAAGCGCGCGCAGGCGGUCCUUUAAGUCUGAUGUGAAAGCCCACGGCUCAACCGUGGAGGGUCAUUGGAAACUGGGGGACUUGAGUACAGAAGAGAAGAGUGGAAUUCCACGUGUAGCGGUGAAAUGCGUAGAGAUGUGGAGGAACACCAGUGGCGAAGGCGACUCUUUGGUCUGUAACUGACGCUGAGGCGCGAAAGCGUGGGGAGCAAACAGG